RNAcentral lists this ribosomal RNA (1313 nucleotides) under metagenome. RNAcentral describes it as "SSU rRNA". It matches the Rfam family "Eukaryotic small subunit ribosomal RNA", at positions 558 to 1777 of the family's 1831-position model. The record is from RNAcentral.
AGUCUGGUGCCAGCAGCCGCGGUAAUUCCAGCUCAAAUAGCGUAUAUUAAAGUUGUUGCAGUUGAAAAGCUCGUAGUUGGAUUUCAGGAUCAGAGAGAUCGGUCCGCCGUCAAGGUGUGUACUGGUCUUCUCUAUCCUCACUAUGGGAUACUCACCUCUGCCCUUGACUGAGUGGAGGUCAAAGGCAUGGUGUAGGGGGGCAACCCUCUGCAUUAUGUUGAGUUCUCAUUCAUUUACUUUGAAUAAAACUGCAUGCUCAAAGUAGGUAAAGGGCCGCUGAAAGCAAAAGCAUGGGAUAAUAGAACAGGACUUGUGUCCUCGUUUUGUUGGUUUCUAGGACAUGAGUAAUGAUUAAGAGGGAUAGUUGGGGGCAUUAGUAUUUAAUUGUCAGAGGUGAAAUUCUUGGAUUUAUGAAAGACUAACUUCUGCGAAAGCAUUUGCCAAGGAUGUUUUCAUUAAUCAAGAACGAAAGUUAGGGGAUCGAAGACGAUCAGAUACCGUCGUAGUCCUAACCAUAAACGAUGCCGACCAGCGAUUGGGAGACGUUAUAUGGAUGACUCCCCCAGCAGCUUGCGAGAAAUCACAAGUCUUUGGGUUCCGGGGGGAGUAUGGUCGCAAGGCUGAAACUUAAAGGAAUUGACGGAAGGGCACCACCAGGAGUGGAGCCUGCGGCUUAAUUUGACCCAACACGGGGAAACUUACCAGGUCCAGACACAGUAAGGAUUGACAGAUUUGAGAGCUCUUUCUUGAUUCUGUGGGUGGUGGUGCAUGGCCGUUCUUAGUUGGUGGAGUGAUUUGUCUGGUUAAUUCCGUUAACGAACGAGACCUUAACCUGCUAAAUAGUGACUGGAAGCAUCUACAAAAACACAGUGGGGUCUAGGGUGAAGUUUCGAUGGAUCUCGACGCCUCAUUGUGUGGAUGCUCCCAGGAUUACUUCUUAGAGGGACUAUCUGUAUUAAAGCAGAUGGAAGCAUGAGGCAAUAACAGGUCUGUGAUGCCCUUCGAUGUCCUGGGCCGCACGCGCGCUACACUGAUAAGUUCAACGAGUUUAACACCCUGGCCGGUAGGUCUGGGUAAUCUUCGUGAAACUUAUCGUGCUGGGGAUAGAUCGUUGUAAUUAUUGAUCUUCAACGAGGAAUUCCUAGUAAGCGUUGAGUCAUCAGCUCGCGUUGAUUACGUCCCUGCCCUUUGUACACACCGCCCGUCGCUCCUACCGAUUGAAUGGUCCGGUGAGAAGUUGGGAAUGUGGCCGACGCUAGCGGGGCAACUCGUUAGUAAGGUUGUGUGAACUUCUUCAAACCUUAUCAUUUAGA